This is a long non-coding RNA of Pan troglodytes (chimpanzee), 1413 nucleotides long. RefSeq lists it as uncharacterized. The transcript is spliced from 3 exons. NCBI's taxonomy places the organism in Eukaryota, Metazoa, Chordata, Mammalia, Primates, Hominidae. The record is from RefSeq and is a predicted model, not a curated record.
UUAUGGUCAGAAGGACACCUCCACGGAGCACAGGGGCCUUCUGCUCAUCAAAAUUUCUACUCAGUAACAGUGCUAAAUAUCAAUUAUUUAGCUCUUAGUGUGAAUUGACUGUAUGUCAUUUUACUUACAUACAUCUGCAUUUUAUAUCUUACCUUCACUCUGGAAUGAAAAGUUUGUGCCCCCAAGAAAGCCAAGAGACAGCAAUAAGAAGGGAAGAGAGCCAGUGCACAGCCAUCGUGUCCUAGGUCAAAAGUCCCAUCCCCACUUCCAGUUCUCAUAAGCCUCCCCUUUGUAACAGCGGGCACCAAAUUUGCUUUAUAUGGUCAUGAGCCCUGUUACCUGCAGCAUCAAAUGGGAGGCAUGAAGCCACGAUAAAGAACAAGCAAAGUGAGCUCCGUGAACGGGCUUUCCCAGGCUGCCUUCUGCACACAUGAGCCUACCCAGAGGGGACACAGAACAGGGAUGAGGCCUCUCGCAUCUGUGGGGGCUAUGAAGACAAAUGUUAUGUGUACCUAAAACUAAACCAGCACUCACUGCUUCCAGGAAGAGUUGGAAUAAAAAGGAAGGAGAAACUCACCGGAAAUGAAACUCAAAGGCCAGGAGUGAGGGCGGUUACCUGCCACACUCCUGUGAGAGCCUACCCAUCAUGGCGAAGCUGGAGAGUGGGCAGAUCCUUUCCCAGAGCCCCUCCAAGUCACCUUGGAGAUACCAUCAGACUUCCCUCUUUUCUUCAGAUUUCUUCAACCACUCCACAGACAUAUUUAAAGCACCUGCCACAGCUGUCUGAGUCUGAAGCCAGAAUACAGGCGACAUGUAAGAAUAAUGCCAAGGACAGGAGAGGAUGGGGCAGCCGAGGAGAAGCACCACGUUACCCUCAAGCCCUACCCUGUGGGCAGCUGUCCCCACCCAGGCUGUGCUUGUGGAGAUAUCUCCGUGUGGCCAAACCACAAGGCCCCCAUUUGGAGGAUCCCAUUUUCUAACCACCUUGGCCCAACAUCAAUAACAACAUUGCCCCAUAAGAAGCCGCGAGGCAUUUCCUCAGGGAACCACCAGCGCCAGGGCUCAAAGACCAAGUUUAGACACUAGGAACUCCCCUCAGGAGUGUAAAACUGAGUUCAGAAAUAAGAAAAACAAAGUUUCCAGCCCAAGUCUCCUCCACGGGAGACACCCUCAGCGCCCCUCCUCACAGCUGCUAGGCCUCCUUCCCGGGCCGGCCCCUCAUUAGGAACUAACAGUCCCAGCCAUGCCAGCCUCCAGGCCUCCUUGUUAACUCCUUGGUUUCCCUUAGUGCUGCCAGGAAAAAAUUAGGCCUCAGAAAUCCUGAGCAGUACUGAGAGGCAGAGAGCACCUACCACAGAUAGUUAAUGGUGUGUACAUUCUACGGUUUCUCUUAAUAAACCAAAUUAAUAAUAA